RNAcentral lists this ribosomal RNA (653 nucleotides) under Pontomyia natans. RNAcentral describes it as "partial large subunit ribosomal RNA". Lineage: Eukaryota; Metazoa; Arthropoda; Insecta; Diptera; Chironomidae. The record is from RNAcentral.
UGGGCUCAAACCUAAAGAACCCAAAUAUCUAAACGGAGAGAUUCAAUACUGRAUUUAACACUCAGUGUGCACUUCUCUCUUAGUAAGACGCCGUGAUCCAUUAGAAAUUGGUAGACGCCAGUCUAUAUGAGGUCAUCAAUGGGCUUGUACGAAGUUUAUUGGAACGAAUGRCAURAUCUUUCAACGGUUGUGUGUAUUGUCUGGUAAGCGUGCGAGUACUCGUAAUGACUGUCUGAUGGAUUUUAAAGAUUGUAUCACUGAUGUUACGGCAUCACUCGCUUCGGCGAGCGUUUGAUAUGUAUCCGAUCAACGGCGGUUAAAUUUGGGAUACCUUUUGGACCCGUCUUGAAACACGGACCAAGGAGUCUAUCUAAUGUGCGAGUAAAUGAGUUGUAAACUUAUUUGCGUAAUAAACGUAACUAUUUAAUGGGAUUACGAGUCACCAUGCUCUUCCAUCCCGGAGUAUUUUCAUCCACAUAUACGCAAGUAUAUGGAAAAUAUAUCAUGAGCAUAUUGGAUACGACCCGAAAGAUGGUGAACUAUGCUUGAUCAGGUCGAAGUCAGGGGAAACCCUGAUGGAGGACCGAAGCAGUUCUGACGUGCAAAUCGAUUGUCAGAAUUGAGCAUAGGGGCGAAAGACCAAUCGAACCAUC